UAUGGCUAUAUCACUCUUAAACACCGUUUCUCAUACGAUCACUGAAGUUAAGCAACGUCGAACCUGGUCACUAUCUAGAUGGCUGACCGCAUUGGAAUACCAGGUGCCGUAU
Non-coding RNA from Acanthosepion pharaonis, 112 nucleotides. The record is from the annotation of a GenBank genome assembly. Lineage: Eukaryota; Metazoa; Mollusca; Cephalopoda; Sepiida; Sepiidae.